This 447-nucleotide ribosomal RNA is filed under the name uncultured soil bacterium. RNAcentral's name for it is "bacterial SSU rRNA". It matches the Rfam family "Bacterial small subunit ribosomal RNA", at positions 26 to 518 of the family's 1533-position model. The record is from RNAcentral.
AGAACGAACGCUGGCGGCAUGCCUAAUACAUGCAAGUCGAACGAACUCUUCGGAGUUAGUGGCGCACGGGUGCGUAACGCGUGGGAAUCUGCCCCUUGGUUCGGAAUAACAGUUGGAAACGACUGCUAAUACCGGAUGAUGACGAGAGUCCAAAGAUUUAUCGCCAAGGGAUGAGCCCGCGUAGGAUUAGCUAGUUGGUGAGGUAAAGGCUCACCAAGGCAACGAUCCUUAGCUGGUCUGAGAGGAUGAUCAGCCACACUGGGACUGAGACACGGCCCAGACUCCUACGGGAGGCAGCAGUAGGGAAUAUUGGACAAUGGGCGAAAGCCUGAUCCAGCAAUGCCGCGUGAGUGAUGAAGGCCUUAGGGUUGUAAAGCUUCUUUACCCGAGAUGAUAAUGACAGUAGUGGAGAAUAACGCCCCGCUAACUCCGUGACCAGCAGCCGAC